GUCGUCGUGGCCGAGUGGUUAUGGCGCUAGUCUAGAAAACUAGUUCGCUCCGCGAGCGCAGGUUCGAAUCCUGCCGACGACG
Non-coding RNA from Hamiltosporidium tvaerminnensis, 82 nucleotides. The record is from the annotation of a GenBank genome assembly. NCBI's taxonomy places the organism in Eukaryota, Fungi, Microsporidia, Dubosqiidae.